CCUACGGGAGGCAGCAGUGAGGAAUAUUGGUCAAUGGAGGCGACUCUGAACCAGCCAAGUAGCGUGAAGGAUGACGGCCCUAUGGGUUGUAAACUGCUUUUAUGAAGGGAUAAAGUGAGGCACGUGUGGCUUAUUGUAGGUACCGCAUGAAUAAGGAUCGGCUAAUUCCGUGCCAGCAGCCGCGGUAAUACGGAGGGUCCGAGCGUUAUCCGGAUUUAUUGGGUUUAAAGGGAGCGCAGAUGGGCCGUUAAGUCAGUUGUGAAAUUCUGCGGCUCAACCGUGACAGUGCAAUGGAUACUGGCGGGCUUGAGUGCAGUUGAGGUAGGCGGAAUUCGUGGUGUAGCGGUGAAAUGCUUAGAUAUCACGAAGAACUCCGAUUGCGAAGGCAGCUUACUAAAGUGUCACUGACAUUGAGGCUCGAAAGUGCGGGUAUCAAACAGGAUUAGAUACCCGAGUAGUC
This 460-nucleotide ribosomal RNA is filed under the name uncultured bacterium. RNAcentral's name for it is "partial 16S ribosomal RNA". It matches the Rfam family "Bacterial small subunit ribosomal RNA", at positions 338 to 795 of the family's 1533-position model. The record is from RNAcentral.